GGAUCCAGACUUUGAUUAUGGCUCAGGAUGAACGCUGGCGGCGCAUUUAAGACAUGCAAGUCGAACGAAAAUUUACGCUUAAAGAGUUGAUUAGUUUACUAAGAGAUGAUUUAUUGUAAAUUUUAGUGGCGGACUGGUGAGUAAUACAUAGGUAAUCUGCCUUUUAGAGGGGAAUAACUAGGAGAAAUCCUAGCUAAUACCGCGUAAGACCACACUUAGGCAUCUAAGAGAGGUCAAAGGAGUAAUCCGCUAAAAGAUGAGCCUGUGGCUGAUUAGUUAGUUGGUGGGGUAAGAGCCUACCAAGACGAUGAUCAGUAGCCGAGCUGAGAGGCUGGCCGGCCACAUUGGGACUGAGAUACGGCCCAGACUCCUACGGGAGGCAGCAGUUGGGAAUAUUGGACAAUGGAGGAAACUCUGAUCCAGUGACGCCGCGUGAAGGAAGAAGGUCUUCGGAUUGUAAACUUAUUUUAUCAGGGAAGAAGAAAGUGACAGUACCUGAAGAAAAAGGACCGGCAAACUACGUGCCAGCAGCCGCGGUAAUACGUAGGGUCCAAGCGUUAUCCGGAUUUACUGGGUGUAAAGGGCGAGUAGACGGCGCUGUAAGUCAGCUGUGAAAACUUAGGGCUCAACCUUAAGCCUGCAGCUGAAACUGUAGUGCUAGAGUGCAGGAGAGGUAAGCGGAAUUCCUAGUGUAGCGGUGAAAUGCGUAGAUAUUAGGAGGAACACCAGUGGCGAAGGCGGCUUACUGGACUGUAACUGACGUUGAGGCGCGAAAGUGUGGGGAGCAAACAGGAUUAGAUACCCUGGUAGUCCACACCGUAAACGAUGGAUACUAGGUGUAGGCGAGAUAUCGUCUGUGCCGGCGCAAACGCAAUAAGUAUCCCACCUGGGGAAUACGGCCGCAAGGUUGCAACUCAAAGGAAUUGACGG
This 930-nucleotide ribosomal RNA is filed under the name uncultured bacterium. RNAcentral describes it as "bacterial SSU rRNA". It matches the Rfam family "Bacterial small subunit ribosomal RNA", at positions 1 to 916 of the family's 1533-position model. The record is from RNAcentral. RNAcentral also lists the same sequence under 1 other name.